Long non-coding RNA from Lepidothrix coronata (blue-crowned manakin), 1700 nucleotides. RefSeq lists it as uncharacterized. The record is from RefSeq and is a predicted model, not a curated record. The transcript is spliced from 3 exons. NCBI's taxonomy places the organism in Eukaryota, Metazoa, Chordata, Aves, Passeriformes, Pipridae.
CCUCUGAUCACCUGGGUGCCUCCUCUGGACUCUCUCCAACAGGCACGAGCACCUUCCACUUCUCCAAUCACAGACCUAAAGGCUGACAGCUUUAUUUGGGCACUAUCUGGAUCCAGCACUUUUAUUAUGCCAGCCCUUCAGCUGGAGCUGUGCCCUGCAGCUCCAGGGCUGCAGCAGAAACCAGAGCUCCUGAAUCUUUAUGGGAAGUCCAACAAACUGGUGAAUACUGAAAAACUAGGAGGGAAGAAUCGAAGUAGAGCUGCCACUGAUGCUGAGGUAACUCCUGAGGCAGCAGGAGGGAUGAAAGCUGUCUUGGAGCUUUAUUAUUACUUGACCACAUGGAUGAAGAUGGCAGGAAGCUGCACACUGUCAAAACACCAGAAAAAAAAGGCAUCUACAGAGAUGCAAAGUGGUCAGUCCUGUCCUGUGUGACACUUUAGUGCUGCCAUGGGCAAAUAUCCAGUGGGAAACACAGCGCACAGAAGUUACUUGGGAACAAAACACAGCAGCCAACAUGUUGCUACAUAAAAUUUGUAUUUUACGAGGCUCAGUAAUUACAGUGAGCAGUUCCCAGAGUGCACAGACAAAAGGGAGUGAAGUGAGAUGGCACAGCCAGAGCGGCUCCUGCUUGUUCCAUCCUUUACAAACAUUUUGUGCAUCUGUUGGUAUUUGAGUUCAGAGGGACUGAUCCAGCACCAGCUGAUGUUGAUGAAAGGAUAUUCAUUAUCUUUAGGGGCUUCUGGAUUAGCAUCAGAUUUAUUAAACCUUUCAACCAGGGCCUGGUUGGCCGUUUGGGAGUUGAAAGCAUCUUGUGUCCACGAGUGUCUUAAUUAUAAAUUAUCUACACUGUCACAUGUUUGAUAUUUUGACAGGCUUGAGGACUCUGGGAGUACUUUAGUAGGUGGAAAGGUGUCUAAUACUGAAAUGGACUUUCAGACAGGAGUGUGUAAUGGUCUGAAGAAAAUACUUGAUGUAUUUUUGUAUUUUUAUCCUCUUGUAAUGCAUCAUCUGGGGCAUUUAAACCUAAGUGUGUAGAACAGGAAUUGUUCCUACAAGAUGAGAGGAGCUCUGGACAUACAGGCUCAGAUCCUGACUCUGCCUUCACUUGACUAAGUCGUAAAAUCUGGACUGUAUCUCUGUCUGCAAAGUAUGUGUAUUAAUAAUUCCUUAUACAGGGGGAAUAUUAUGAAACCCUUUGUGAUUUUAAGAUCCUUCACUGGUAAAUGUGAUACUGAAAGGGUGGAUGGAAAAUGGAAAUAUAUCAGAUAUUCCCUGACUUUUUCAAGAACUGCUUUGCAGAAUUUAGCCUACAGGCUAACUCCCCAUGAAAUUUAUUAUUCACUUAAAUACUGCAUUGCAAGAUUGUUCCAGCUAAACAAAGUGUCCUACUGCUCACUAUCAGAGGGAACAGUCUGCUGCAACUACUCCAUAAUUGUGCUACUAAUGUAUACUUUAUUAAACUCCUGCUGUUUUCUUAACUGGUUUAUCUACUAAAAAUAGUCUGAUUAAUAAAAUGGAUGUCAGAUGUAUCCAUCUUUAUGCAUUUCCCCCAUGGAAUUAGACAGUACUAAGCAGUAAUUUGGAUUUUUUCUUUUCCUGUUAGUGUUAAGCAAUGUCAGUUAUUCUCUGCAGUGGAUUGCUGGGAGGAUAUUACAAAUUUGAAUUCAAUUCAGGUUGGCAGCGAUGAGAAUUCAGGUGUU